RNAcentral lists this ribosomal RNA (479 nucleotides) under uncultured bacterium. Its description in RNAcentral is "partial 16S ribosomal RNA". It matches the Rfam family "Bacterial small subunit ribosomal RNA", at positions 28 to 506 of the family's 1533-position model. The record is from RNAcentral.
GACGAACGCUGGCGGCGUGCUUAACACAUGCAAGUCGAACGAUGAAGAAAAGAAUUGAAGCUUCGGCAGAAAUUCAUUUCGGAUUAGUGGCAGACGGGUGAGUAACGCGUGAGCAACCUACCUCUUACAAAGGGAUAGCCUCGGGAAACCGGGAUUAAUACCAUAUAACAUUGCGACGAAGCAUUUCGAUGCAAUCAAAGCUACGGCGGUAAGAGAUGGGCUCGCGUCCCAUUAACCAGAUGGUGAGGUAACGGCUCACCAUAGUAACGAUGGGUAACCGGCCUGAGAGGGUGAACGGUCACACUGGAACUGAGACACGGUCCAGACUCCUACGGGAGGCAGCAGUGGGGAAUAUUGCACAAUGGAGGGAACUCUGAUGCAGCGACGCCGCGGGAGUGAUGAAGGAAUUCGUUUCGUAAAACUCUGUUCUAGGGGAAGAAAAGGACUGUACCAUAGGAGAAAGCUCCGGCUAAAUACGU